Molecule: ribosomal RNA, 439 nt
Filed under: uncultured bacterium
Lineage: Bacteria
Description: partial 16S ribosomal RNA
Rfam family: Bacterial small subunit ribosomal RNA
Source: RNAcentral
CUACGGGCGGCACCAGUGAGGAAUAUUGCACAAUGGGGGGAACCCUGAUGCAGCAACGCCGCGUGGAGGAUGACGCAUUUCGGUGUGUAAACUCCUUUUAUAUGUCAAGAAAAUGACGGUAGCAUAUGAAUAAGCACCGGCUAACUCCGUGCCAGCAGCCGCGGUAAUACGGAGGGUGCAAGCGUUACUCGGAAUCACUGGGCGUAAAGGACGCGUAGGCGGGUUGGAAAGUCAGGUGUGAAAUCCUACAGCUUAACUGUAGAUCUGCACUUGAAACUUCUAAUCUAGAGUAUGGGAGGGGGAGAUGGAAUUAGUGGUGUAGGGGUAACAUCCGUAGAUAUCACUAGGAAUACCUAAAGCGAAGGCGAUCUCCUGGAACAUUACUGACGCUAAGGCGUGAAAGCGUGGGGAGCAAACAGGAUUAGAUACCCCUGUAGUC